GACGAACUUUGGCGGCGUGCUUAACACAUGCAAGUCGAACGGAAAGGCCCUGCUUUUGUGGGGUGCUCGAGUGGCGAACGGGUGAGUAACACGUGAGUAACCUGCCCUUGACUUUGGGAUAACUUCAGGAAACUGGGGCUAAUACCGGAUAGGAGCUCCUGCUGCAUGGUGGGGGUUGGAAAGUUUCGGCGGUUGGGGAUGGACUCGCGGCUUAUCAGCUUGUUGGUGGGGUAGUGGCUUACCAAGGCUUUGACGGGUAGCCGGCCUGAGAGGGUGACCGGCCACAUUGGGACUGAGAUACGGCCCAGACUCCUACGGGAGGCAGCAGUGGGGAAUAUUGCACAAUGGGCGGAAGCCUGAUGCAGCAACGCCGCGUGCGGGAUGACGGCCUUCGGGUUGUAAACCGCUUUCGCCUGUGACGAAGCGUGAGUGACGGUAAUGGGUAAAGAAGCACCGGCUAACUACGUGCCAGCAGCCGCGGUGAUACGUAGGGUGCGAGCGUUGUCCGGAUUUAUUGGGCGUAAAGGGCUCGUAGGUGGUUGAUCGCGUCGGAAGUGUAAUCUUGGGGCUUAACCCUGAGCGUGCUUUCGAUACGGGUUGACUUGAGGAAGGUAGGGGAGAAUGGAAUUCCUGGUGGAGCGGUGGAAUGCGCAGAUAUCAGGAGGAACACCAGUGGCGAAGGCGGUUCUCUGGGCCUUUCCUGACGCUGAGGAGCGAAAGCGUGGGGAGCGAACAGGCUUAGAUACCCUGGUAGUCCACGCUGUAAACGGUGGGUACUAGGUGUGGGGUCCAUUCCACGGGUUCCGUGCCGUAGCUAACGCUUUAAGUACCCCGCCUGGGGAGUACGGCCGCAAGGCUAAAACUCAAAGGAAUUGACGGGGCCCCGCACAAGCGGCGGAGCAUGCGGAUUAAUUCGAUGCAACGCGUAGAACCUUACCUGGGUUUGACAUGGAUCGGGAGUGCUCAGAGAUGGGUGUGCCUCUUUUGGGGUCGGUUCACAGGUGGUGCAUGGCUGUCGUCAGCUCGUGUCGUGAGAUGUUGGGUUAAGUCCCGCAACGAGCGCAACCCUUGUUCACUGUUGCCAGCACGUUAUGGUGGGGACUCAGUGGAGACCGCCGGGGUCAACUCGGAGGAAGGUGGGGAUGACGUCAAGUCAUCAUGCCCCUUAUGUCCAGGGCUUCACGCAUGCUACAAUGGCUGGUACAGAGAGUGGCGAGCCUGUGAGGGUGAGCGAAUCUCGGAAAGCCGGUCUCAGUUCGGAUUGGGGUCUGCAACUCGACCUCAUGAAGUCGGAGUCGCUAGUGAUCGCAGAUCAGCAACGCUGCGGUGAAUACGUUCCCGGGGCU
This 1346-nucleotide ribosomal RNA is filed under the name uncultured bacterium. Its description in RNAcentral is "partial 16S ribosomal RNA". It matches the Rfam family "Bacterial small subunit ribosomal RNA", at positions 28 to 1381 of the family's 1533-position model. The record is from RNAcentral.